RNAcentral lists this ribosomal RNA (173 nucleotides) under uncultured bacterium. Its description in RNAcentral is "partial 16S ribosomal RNA". It matches the Rfam family "Bacterial small subunit ribosomal RNA", at positions 372 to 528 of the family's 1533-position model. The record is from RNAcentral.
UGGGCGACAGCCUGAUCCAGCCAUGCCGCGUGGUGGUGAAGAAGGUCUUUCGGAUCUGUAAAGCACUUUAAGUUUGGGAGGAACGGACAGUAAAUUAAUACUUUUGCUCGUUUUGACGUUACCGACAGAAUAAGCACCGGCUAACUUCUGUUGCCAGCGUCCGCGGUAACAGA